This 440-nucleotide ribosomal RNA is filed under the name uncultured bacterium. RNAcentral describes it as "partial 16S ribosomal RNA". It matches the Rfam family "Bacterial small subunit ribosomal RNA", at positions 338 to 795 of the family's 1533-position model. The record is from RNAcentral.
CCUACGGGUGGCAGCAGUGGGGGAUACUGCACAAUGGGGGGAACCCUGAUGCAGCGACGCCGCGUGGGUGAAGAAGCGCCUCGGCGCGUAAAGCCCUGUCAGCAGGGAAGAAAAUGACGGUACCUGAAGAAGAAGCCCCGGCUAACUACGUGCCAGCAGCCUCGGUACUACGUAGGGGGCAAGCGUUAGCCGGAUGUACGGGGUGUAACGGGGGCGUAGACGGCCAUGCAAGCCAGGGGUGAAAGCCCGGGGCACAACCCCGGGACUGCCCUUGGAACUGCAUGGCUGGAGUGCGGGAGGGGCAGGCGGAAUUCCUGGUGUAGCGGUGAAAUGCGUAGAUAUCAGGAGGAACACCGGCGGCGAAGGCGGCCUGCUGGACCGCGACUGACGUUGAGGCUCGAAAGCGUGGGGAGCGAACAGGAUUAGAUACCCUUGUAGUC